UAAAAUGUAUUCUGUCAGUUGAGAAAAAAAGUAUAACAACUAAAAAAAUUCCUAUUGGCUGAUUCACAAACACAAGGAUCAAGCUUUUCACCGUCGGAUGAGAUUGGAUCCAAGGGACCAAAGUUAUUCCUUUUCUUCAGAUCUCCAUACAUAGCUUUCUUCACUGCUGGCCUCCGCAUCUCCUCUCUUCUCUUUUGUCAGAAGAUCUCUCCACCCUCGCAAGAUCUCUGCCUUCAUCGCUCUCCAUCUUCUCUACCACCUCCGUUAAUGGUCGUUUAUUAUAAAUUUUACUUCCAUCAUCUCUCUUCUGCGUGACUUUGACUUUGGUGCAGGUUGAAGAAUUGAAUGAGUGGUAUCUCUGUCUUCCAUCAUUUGAUGUCACGCUCACCGUUCACCACCACUCCACGGAGGGUGGAGGAUGCAGAAAAAGCUUGAUGGUGGAGGAUGCAGAAGAAGCUUGAUGGUGGAGGAGACAAGACCAGCCGUGGUCGCAGUGGCUGUUGUGCGGCGGAGGCAAGGCCACACAUGGCGGCUAGAGGAGGCAAGGCGAGGCAGGCAUGGCCGCUUAUUUUUUUAGGGUUGAAUUUUUUUUAAUGAUUUGGUUUAGUUAUCUAAACCUAAUUUUAUUUUAAACCAAUUUCAUUUUGUAAACCGAGUUAUUUUUAUUUCGAUUUAUAGAGUAACCAAUUGAAACUGA
Molecule: long non-coding RNA, 697 nt
Organism: Brassica napus (rape)
Lineage: Eukaryota; Viridiplantae; Streptophyta; Magnoliopsida; Brassicales; Brassicaceae
Exons: 2
Source: RefSeq, a predicted model, not a curated record